RNAcentral lists this long non-coding RNA (1552 nucleotides) under Coffea arabica (coffee). RNAcentral's name for it is "long non-coding RNA (CARA_LNC002324)". The record is from RNAcentral. Lineage: Eukaryota; Viridiplantae; Streptophyta; Magnoliopsida; Gentianales; Rubiaceae.
GAAAUAAUAAAAAUAGAAGUACCUCCCGUUUGAAGUGGUGACUAAAUGGAGUCAAAUUAUUCUAUUUAUACUCACAAUGAACAAAAGAAUCAUGGCACCAAUUUAAUCGAAAAAGAAAAUAAUAAUACAAGUACUAAAUUCGCACUAAUAUAUUAGACGUAAAGAAAUUUAAGCAAAUCUAAAAAAAUUCCAAGUUAAGUAUAUUCAAAAGUAGCAUAACUAGCUAUUAAAGAAAAAAAAAACAAUCAUAAUAAAGAGAGCCAAAAUUCAUCAGGGACUGAAUUGCAAAAAUUGAAAAGCUAUUGGGGACAAAAAUUAUAUUUUUUCAAAGUUCAGAGGUCAAAAUUAAAUGAAAGAUAAAAUUCAAGGACCAAAGUGCAAUUAACUUAAGGAGCUAAGUGAAAGAAAUUUAAAAUGUUCUGGGCCAUAGUGAAAAUACUUGAAAGUACAGGAGCUGAUAUGCAAAACGAUUUCUUAUUCCUUAACAAAUCAGGCCACUGGACCAUUUUUCUCAUUUCUUUGGGCCAGGACUCUCGAGCCCACCGGAAAAACCUCGAGAACAAGAGACGGGCUAGCCCAUUGAUUUUAUCAAAUAAACCCAAUUGAAAUGUAUGGGCUUCAACUCCCAAGCCCAUUCGUAAAAUCCAAAAAAAAUAACCAAAAUCCAACUAAAACUAGCUCUUGGCCCAACCAAAAUAAAACAUUAGCCCAAAUCAUUUUUUUUCUUCUUUUCUUUCCUUUCUUUUCUUCUUCUUUUUUUUUUCUUCUUCCACCGAGAAGCCGAAGCUUCUCCCUGCUGGCGGCCAUGGUUGCCUCCGCCAUCGGGCCGCCGCCACCGCCGGUCGCCGGCGAUAUCUUCGGUCGUGAAAAAUUACCAAAAUCUACUCUCCCACUCGAUUUUUCACGUAGAUUCCAUUUUUGGGUUUAGUUUUAACAAAAAAGGACUCGAAAGUGGCCAAAAUGACAAGAAAUCAGUCCAGUUUUGAUUUUUCAAAACAACAUAUCCUUCACCAAAAAUUAUAAAAAUUAUAUCACAACACUCUUACAUCUCCUACAAUACAAAUAUGAUUUUAUUUUGACAAGAAAACAACAUAAAAGGGCUAAAAUAAAGCAAAACAGCCCCCCUAAAAUUCCCUUUUUUCCAUUUUUGGCAUUUUUUCAAACAGUUAACAUGCAUACAUAAAAAACGUUUCCUUUUCCUCAAUCUAGUUUUGGACUUGCCCAACAACACCACAUCAAUAAAACCAGCAAGAGGAAGGGGCAAAUCAGCAACUAAACAUGCUUCAAAUAUAACUACUAAAAUAGAAAGAAAAAGGAAAGGAAAUCGGAAAAAUAAAAGGAAGAUUACCUCAGCUAGAAUUACGGUCCGUUGGCUAGAGUUUGGAGGAAACUCCAAGCUAUGAUUGUCCAAUUGGUAGCUGCCCCUCUUUUUUGUUGUGUGUGAGUGUGUUGGGAAAAACCGAGAGAGAGAGAGAGUGAGGUUUUGUAUGGUGUUCACAAAAAAUGAGAGGGAGAAUUGAGAGAAGAGCCGAUAGAAGAGUCCGGGAGAUUG